Long non-coding RNA from Melospiza georgiana, 980 nucleotides. RefSeq lists it as uncharacterized. NCBI's taxonomy places the organism in Eukaryota, Metazoa, Chordata, Aves, Passeriformes, Passerellidae. The transcript is spliced from 3 exons. The record is from RefSeq and is a predicted model, not a curated record.
UUACACCUGAGCUGGGAGGAGGGGUGCUGGUGCAGCAGCUGGGAAACUGCUUAACUCUGGAAAACAGAGCCCCAGGACCUGCCUGUGGGUAUGAUCUCAGCUUUUGUGUUUUUGAGGAUCCUGACAAAAUGUUUGAGCUCUGGCCCUGUGUGCAGCUGGUGGUUGUUGGUCAUGCCAGCAUUCCAUUUGUGUAUUAACUGAUUUAAUUAAGAGUCUUUCCUCAGAGUUUCUACAGAGUAAUCUUGUAAACAAAAAUUAAAAUGGAAUCUGCUGCUUUGUUAAUCUUGUGUGCGUUCAAACAAGGGCUAGAAGAGAUGGAAGUGCCUCUUUGGUCCUGGUUUACUUGAAAAUUUCAAAUGGAACUGUCUGGGUUUGGUGCCAUCCAUUCUGGCCUGUGAGGGCUGUAUUGGAUAGACAUAACCAGUGACUCUCAGGACUAAUUUUAAAUUAAAUUCCAUGUUGGGAAGAUGAAUAUAAAUGGAUGUACUUUAUUGUGUCUUUUCUUCCAACAGCUCUGCUUUGCUGUCCCCUGUGUCAGAAUGGAGGAGGUGCUGGGAGCAGCAGGGUGUCUCCCUUAGCACAGUCUGUGAUGGGAUGCAAGGCACAGCUGGAGAAGGAAGGAAAAGCUUUUCCAACCCCCCUCCAAGCUUUGUGUUUUUGCACAGAGCUGGAUGUUGGAAUCAGAGCAGCCACCACAAGGAAAGGUUGGGAAAGAAAGGAUGUGGAGUUUGUGGCUUAGCCACGGAUGUCAGGCCCCUCACAACAUCCAUCUGUGCUGCAGAGAAAGAACCCCAGGGCUGGGGAGUUCUGAAACAUCAGCUGCCACCACAGGAAGGAAGGGAUCCCGUGACUGACCCCGUGACCCCUCUUGCCUCCUCAGCUCUUGAGAGGCAUCUGUUGGACUGAAGACUUAAUAAGGAAUUUGAAGAUUAAAAUCCUAUCAGGUGUCUCCUGCAGCAAUGAAUCGACCACAUUACAAG